AUUGAACGCUGGCGGCAUGCUUUACACAUGCGAGUCGAACGGUAACAGGCCUUCGGGUGCUGACGAGUGGCGCACGGGUGAGUAAUGCAUCGGAACGUACCCAGAGGUGGGGGAUAACGCAGCGAAAGCUGUGCUAAUACCGCAUGUGAUCUGAGGAUGAAAGCGGGGGACCGAGCAGCAAUGUUUGGCCUCGCGCCUUUGGAGCGGCCGAUGUCGGAUUAGCUAGUUGGUGGGGUAAAGGCCUACCAAGGCGACGAUCCGUAGCUGGUCUGAGAGGACGACCAGCCACACUGGGACUGAGACACGGCCCAGACUCCUACGGGAGGCAGCAGUGGGGAAUUUUGGACAAUGGGCGCAAGCCUGAUCCAGCAAUGCCGCGUGCGGGAAGAAGGCCUUCGGGUUGUAAAACGCUUUUGGCAGGAACGAAACGGUGUCCGCUAAUACCGGGCGCUAAUGACGGUACCUGCAGAAUAAGCACCGGCUAACUACGUG
This 492-nucleotide ribosomal RNA is filed under the name uncultured bacterium. RNAcentral describes it as "partial 16S ribosomal RNA". It matches the Rfam family "Bacterial small subunit ribosomal RNA", at positions 29 to 507 of the family's 1533-position model. The record is from RNAcentral.